AGUAACACGUGGGUAACCUGCCCUUAAGUGGGGGAUAACAUUUGGAAACAGAUGCUAAUACCGCAUAAAUCCAAGAACCGCAUGGUUCUUGGCUGAAAGAUGGCGCAAGCUAUCGCUUUUGGAUGGACCCGCGGCGUAUUAGCUAGUUGGUGAGGUAACGGCUCACCAAGGCGAUGAUACGUAGCCGAACUGAGAGGUUGAUCGGCCACAUUGGGACUGAGACACGGCCCAAACUCCUACGGGAGGCAGCAGUAGGGAAUCUUCCACAAUGGACGCAAGUCUGAUGGAGCAACGCCGCGUGAGUGAAGAAGGCUUUCGGGUCGUAAAACUCUGUUGUUGGAGAAGAAUGGUCGGCAGAGUAACUGUUGUCGGCGUGACGGUAUCCAACCAGAAAGCCACGGCUAACUACGUGCCAGCAGCCGCGGUAAUACGUAGGUGGCAAGCGUUAUCCGGAUUUAUUGGGCGUAAAGCGAGCGCAGGCGGUUUUUUAAGUCUGAUGUGAAAGCCCUCGGCUUAACCGAGGAAGCGCAUCGGAAACUGGGAAACUUGAGUGCAGAAGAGGACAGUGGAACUCCAUGUGUAGCGGUGAAAUGCGUAGAUAUAUGGAAGAACACCAGUGGCGAAGGCGGCUGUCUGGUCUGUAACUGAC
RNAcentral lists this ribosomal RNA (649 nucleotides) under Lacticaseibacillus zeae. Its description in RNAcentral is "bacterial SSU rRNA". It matches the Rfam family "Bacterial small subunit ribosomal RNA", at positions 109 to 744 of the family's 1533-position model. Lineage: Bacteria; Bacillati; Bacillota; Bacilli; Lactobacillales; Lactobacillaceae. The record is from RNAcentral.